CAAAAGAAAAGGCACUGCAUAAAACAUUUAGAUUUCCAGAUCUAUAAGCUCAACCAUGAAGGAAGCUGAUUAUAAAACUCAAGCUCCAUCAGUGAUCAGUCCAGCCCAACUCCACUACUGGUUAGCCAAAAGAUGGCAUUUUGCUCUUUGCAUAUUUAUCAUUAUACAUAUUUAUCAUGUGAUUCAUAUUAAUCAUACAUAAC
This 203-nucleotide long non-coding RNA is filed under the name Carica papaya (papaya). RNAcentral's name for it is "long non-coding RNA (CPAP_LNC005960)". Lineage: Eukaryota; Viridiplantae; Streptophyta; Magnoliopsida; Brassicales; Caricaceae. The record is from RNAcentral.